GGCAAAGAAGUCGUACCCGACGAGUAGUGAUCGGGGCGCUUAGAAAGCUUUUAGUUUGUACAAACGGUGAGUAAACUUAUUAUUAUUGUAAAUUAUCUAGAGUUUAUUUUAAAUGCCCUUUAUGUAUUUUAUGAAAUGAGAACGAGAUUAAAACGGGAUUUUUGAUGUUUUAGGAAUAAAUGUGACAAAUAAAAAUAUAUUGUAUUGAUUAUGAAAUUGAGUAAUUGGAGGCUACAAAUUGACUUGAAAAAUAUAUAUUUUCCUAGGAAUGGCUUAUGAGAAAUGAGUAUAUGUGGCUAUAUUUUGUGAAUGCAUUGGGAAAUUUAUGUAAGUUGUUUUACUAUGCAGGCUGGAUAAAUAAAUAAAAGCCACGUUAUACUGUCGAAAUUUUAUUAAAAUUGGUGGGUUAGUCACUGCAGUGACGGGUUUCCGUGGACUGCCUAUUAGAGGGGCACGGUAAACCCAGUUAUAUAGUUACUCCGGUUGUAGAGACGAGGAGGGUAACUCCUGGGGUAGUAUUAGAGCUCACUUCACGUCGAACCCCCACGUGAAUGUGUAACUCGGCCAACGCCAAGGAACGGCUGGUUUUUAAAAAUAAAAAUAUGUUUCACGUGUGAAUAUUUUAACACCCUUGACGGACUCGGUUAGAUGCCUCGGCCAAGGUAUCCCCGAGGAUUAGUUUUGGCUUGAGCCUUGUUUUAAUAAAAGAUAUAAGCCUUAACAAUUGUUUUGGUAAAUUACAAAUAUUUUAUGGUUUAAGAAAUAAAUUGAAAACAUUAUGAAAUGGGUUGAAAUUUAUUGUUUAAACUUGCCUCCAUUUUACUCGCCUUUAGAUAUUUAUGAUAAUGUCUGUUUACUCAUUGGGAUUGGAAAAUCUCACCCAACUUCUUUCCACCCAUUUCAGGUUUAGUAUAGACUGUAUAUAGCUGAUCUCAUCGAGGACUACCAUUGGAUCUGCAUUUUCCAAACCGUAGGUUCACAGUUCUCUUUACUUUUGUUUAUUCGGGGGCCCUCUUGUUAUUGUAAAUUAAAUUAACUAUUUU
Molecule: long non-coding RNA, 1043 nt
Filed under: Theobroma cacao (cacao)
Lineage: Eukaryota; Viridiplantae; Streptophyta; Magnoliopsida; Malvales; Malvaceae
Description: long non-coding RNA (TCAC_LNC001780)
Source: RNAcentral